RNAcentral lists this ribosomal RNA (497 nucleotides) under uncultured bacterium. Its description in RNAcentral is "partial 16S ribosomal RNA". It matches the Rfam family "Bacterial small subunit ribosomal RNA", at positions 28 to 507 of the family's 1533-position model. The record is from RNAcentral.
GAUGAACGCUGGCGGCGUGCCUAAUACAUGCAAGUCGAGCGAACAGACGAGGAGCUUGCUCCUCUGACGUUAGCGGCGGACGGGUGAGUAACACGUGGAUAACCUACCUAUAAGACUGGGAUAACUUCGGAAAACCGGAGCUAAUACCGGAUAACAUGUUGAACCGCAUGGAUCAACAGUGAAAGACGGUUUUGCUGUCACUUAUAGAUGGAUCCGCGUCGCAUUAGCUAGUUGGUAAGGUAACGGCUUACCAAGGCAACGAUGCGUAGCCGACCUGAGAGGGUGAUCGGCCACACUGGAACUGAGACACGGUCCAGACUCCUACGGGAGGCAGCAGUAGGGAAUCUUCCGCAAUGGGCGAAAGCCUGACGGAGCAACGCCGCGUGAGUGAAGAAGGUCUUCGGAUCGUAAAACUCUGUUAUUAGGGAAGAACAAAUGUGUAAGUAACUAUGCACGUCUUGACGGUACCUAAUCAGAAAGCCACGGCUAACUACGUG